AGCAGUCGCCACGGUAAUACGAAGGGGGCUAGCGUUGUUCGGAUUUACUGGGCGUAAAGGGCGCGUAGGCGGGCUGAUAAGUCAGGGGUGAAAUCCCAAGGCUCAACCUUGGAACUGCCUUUGAUACUGUUUGUCUUGAGUUCGAGAGAGGUAAGUGGAACUGCGAGUGUAGAGGUGAAAUUCGUAGAUAUUCGCAAGAACACCAGUGGCGAAGGCGGCUUACUGGCUCGAAACUGACGCUGAGGCGCGAAAGCGUGGGGAGCAAACAGGAUUAGAUACCCCUGUAGUCCCUGUCUCUUAUAC
RNAcentral lists this ribosomal RNA (303 nucleotides) under uncultured bacterium. RNAcentral describes it as "partial 16S ribosomal RNA". It matches the Rfam family "Bacterial small subunit ribosomal RNA", at positions 507 to 807 of the family's 1533-position model. The record is from RNAcentral.